RNAcentral lists this long non-coding RNA (518 nucleotides) under Volvox carteri. RNAcentral describes it as "long non-coding RNA (VCAR_LNC001093)". Lineage: Eukaryota; Viridiplantae; Chlorophyta; Chlorophyceae; Chlamydomonadales; Volvocaceae. The record is from RNAcentral.
GCGUAAAUUUUACUUUUGGACUUUGCACUCAUGCUGCUCGAGGACGCAAGUCGAACUAUAACCCAUUCCGGGUUGGUUAGCUACAUGAACGGUUUGGGCAUCGUCUGAGGCCUUAGCUGGCUCUUGUUGUUCUUAAUAGUUGACUUUGCGCAUUUUGAACCUGUCAACAAGGUUGCGCCCUUUACAACGUAUUUAGUAAAAACAUUAUACAUGCCCACCAGCACCGGCGCGAUAGUAUUUUAGGAUGUUACUCUGUUGCUUCAGAGGAAAGCUUGCUGCAGCGGACUUGCAGCGGGAUUCCAAGACAGUUUCGGAGAGAACAAGCCUAGGAACCAGAACUGUCGAGGUACCUGCGAAGGCAUCUGCAAUCUUAAGCGUCCAUCAAGAGCAACCGACCUUGCAUGAAACGGUGAGCGCCUUGGUGCUUUGCCGCUGGUCGCUCUGUACCAUGAUUUCGACGAAACUGUGUCCAGACGAGGUAUUCGUCGGCUGUCGGUUGCGAUGACGCUGUAAUUAUA